This 502-nucleotide ribosomal RNA is filed under the name uncultured bacterium. RNAcentral describes it as "bacterial SSU rRNA". It matches the Rfam family "Bacterial small subunit ribosomal RNA", at positions 28 to 507 of the family's 1533-position model. The record is from RNAcentral.
GACGAACGCUGGCGGCGUGCUUAACACAUGCAAGUCGAACGGAGAACUUUCUUCGGAAUGUUCUUAGUGGCGAACGGGUGAGUAACGCGUAGGCAACCUGCCCUCUGGUUGGGGACAACAUUCCGAAAGGGAUGCUAAUACCGAAUGAGAUCCUCUUUCCGCAUGGAGAGAGGAUGAAAGAUGGCCUCUACUUGUAAGCUAUCGCCAGAAGAUGGGCCUGCGUCUGAUUAGCUAGUAGGUGAGGUAACGGCUCACCUAGGCGAUGAUCAGUAGCCGGUCUGAGAGGAUGAACGGCCACAUUGGGACUGAGACACGGCCCAAACUCCUACGGGAGGCAGCAGUGGGGAAUCUUCCGCAAUGGACGAAAGUCUGACGGAGCAACGCCGCGUGAGUGAUGAAGGCCUUCGGGUUGUAAAACUCUGUUGUCAGGGACGAAAGCACCGAUCUAUAAUACAUUUUGGUGUUGACGGUACCUGACGAGGAAGCCACGGCUAACUACGUG